This is a non-coding RNA of Acanthosepion pharaonis, 100 nucleotides long. NCBI's taxonomy places the organism in Eukaryota, Metazoa, Mollusca, Cephalopoda, Sepiida, Sepiidae. The record is from the annotation of a GenBank genome assembly.
UGUUGAAACACCGGUUCCCGUGCGAUCACCAAAGUUAAGCAACGUCGAACCUGGUCAAUACCUAGAUGGCUGACAACUUGGGAAUACAAGGUGCUGUAAG